ACCAAACAAAGAUGAUGUUAGACCUACGAACUCCUCAGGGUUGCACACAACUCACGCCCGCGAGGGUUGGCAGGGAGCAACGUUACAUCAGCAGGAACUUUUUCAUCGUAACUCGUUAACUACGUUAGUUAUAUUAGAGGCGGAAAAAGGGGGAGGCUUGGCUCUGCUCUCUUUAGUUAGCCUUUGAACGAAAUGACCAGUGGAGAAGAGGGAAGAAGAGAAUCUGAGAUCAAUGCUGGCCUCAUUGAUUGAUUGACGAGAAGGAGAGAUGCUAGUAGUGGUAGUAAAGAACUGG
This 295-nucleotide small RNA is filed under the name Histoplasma capsulatum. RNAcentral's name for it is "hypothetical RNA". The record is from RNAcentral. RNAcentral also lists the same sequence under 1 other name. Lineage: Eukaryota; Fungi; Ascomycota; Eurotiomycetes; Onygenales; Ajellomycetaceae.